UCGUUGAAUUACGAACGGCACAUGAAAACGCUGAUUACUAUUUUGGUUUUGCGGCUGUGUAUUUUGCUGUAGUUUAUUAAUUUUCAUCAAUUCCUAAAUUCAUUUUUUAUGGAUGUAUAUUUUUAGUAAAACAAGAAUCUCUCAAUACAAGAGCAAAUAUGUCAUCCGAAGAAAAAGAGUUUUUACAGCACUUACUAUCUUUGGAAGCGUUUACCCCAAAGCAAAAAAUUUUGUUUGACGUAGCAGAGAAAAUAUAUGGCAAGAAGAUUAAACAACUGGAAGCGAAAGACCUCGUCGAAUUUUCCAAUGGCGAAGACACUUUGACAGAAAAGGCUUUGGAUUAUUUUAAAUUAGACAUUAGGCCGUAUUCCCUGACCGCUUUUCGUUCAGUUUUGUUGCCCCCCUUCGGGCACUACUUUAAAUUCACAUGAAUCUAUAGAUUUUUAUACGCUG
Molecule: non-coding RNA, 453 nt
Organism: Paramuricea clavata
Lineage: Eukaryota; Metazoa; Cnidaria; Anthozoa; Malacalcyonacea; Plexauridae
Source: the annotation of a GenBank genome assembly